GUGCUCGUUUUGGCAGCACAUAUACUAAAAUUGGAACGAUAAUGAGAUUAGCAUGGCCCCUGCACAAGGAUGAUGCACAAAUUCACAAAGUGUUUCAUAUUUUU
This 104-nucleotide small nuclear RNA is filed under the name Dasypus novemcinctus (nine-banded armadillo). Lineage: Eukaryota; Metazoa; Chordata; Mammalia; Cingulata; Dasypodidae. The record is from RNAcentral.